This 249-nucleotide unclassified non-coding RNA is filed under the name Hevea brasiliensis (rubber tree). The record is from RNAcentral. Lineage: Eukaryota; Viridiplantae; Streptophyta; Magnoliopsida; Malpighiales; Euphorbiaceae.
GCCAAUUCAUCGAAGUUUAUCACUUUCUAGCGAGAAUAGCCUAGCCAAAAAAACAAAUAUAUACAGUGUAUAAGAAGAUCUAAAUUGAUGACUGCAGGUAUAAGAGAUCUUCGUUAUGUUAGCGAACCUGCGUCUCCUCUUCUUAUCAGAAGAAAAAGCUUCCUCCAUUGUCGUCGCGUCGUUGAAUCUAACAUACCUUCCUUUAUUAUAACAAAUUAAUAUCCAAGUUCGAGAAUAACUCUGAAGUUU